RNAcentral lists this ribosomal RNA (463 nucleotides) under uncultured bacterium. RNAcentral's name for it is "partial 16S ribosomal RNA". It matches the Rfam family "Bacterial small subunit ribosomal RNA", at positions 338 to 795 of the family's 1533-position model. The record is from RNAcentral.
CCUACGGGAGGCAGCAGUGGGGAAUAUUGCGCAAUGGGCGAAAGCCUGACGCAGCGACGCCGCGUGAGGGAUGAAGGUCUUCGGAUCGUAAACCUCUGUCAGCAGGGAAGAACGGUCACUGUGCUAAUCAGCAGUGAAUUGACGGUACCUGCAAAGGAAGCACCGGCUAACUCCGUGCCAGCAGCCGCGGAAAUACUGAGGGGGAGCGUGAAUCGGAAUUACUGGGUGGAAAGGGAGCGUAGACGGCAAUGCAAGACAGGGGUGAAAGCCCGGGGCCCAACCCCGGGACUGCCCUUGGAAAUGCAUGGCUGGGGUGCGUGAGGGGCAGGCGGAAUUCCUGGUGUAGCGGUGAAAUGCGUAGAUAUCAGGAGGAACACCAGCGGCGAAGGCGGCCUGCUGGACCGCAACUGACGUUGAGGCUCGAAAGCGUGGGGAGCGAACAGGAUUAGAUACCCGAGUAGUC